GCGCGGGUGGUGGAACUGGCAGACACGCAUGCUUGAGGGGCAUGUGGGAUUUCCCAUGCAGGUUCAAAUCCUGUCCCGCGCACCA
RNAcentral lists this transfer RNA (85 nucleotides) under Candidatus Omnitrophota bacterium. Its description in RNAcentral is "tRNA-Leu". It matches the Rfam family "tRNA". Rfam says of the family: Transfer RNA (tRNA) molecules are approximately 80 nucleotides in length. Lineage: Bacteria; Pseudomonadati; Candidatus Omnitrophota. The record is from RNAcentral.